RNAcentral lists this ribosomal RNA (3024 nucleotides) under Rickettsiales bacterium. Its description in RNAcentral is "23S ribosomal RNA". It matches the Rfam family "Bacterial large subunit ribosomal RNA". The record is from RNAcentral. Lineage: Bacteria; Pseudomonadati; Pseudomonadota; Alphaproteobacteria; Rickettsiales.
UAAAAAGUAACAAAGGGUGUUUAGUGGAUGCCUUGGCAAUCAGAGGCGAUGAAAGGCGUGAAAGACUGCGAUAAGUCCGGGCGAGCCGUCAAUAUGCAUUGACCCCGGAAUUCCUGAAUGGGGAAACCCAAUCCUUUAUGGAUUAUCUUUGACUGAAUACAUAGGUCAAAGAGGCAAACGCGGAGAAGUGAAACAUCUCAGUAUCCGCAGGAAAAGAAAGCAAUAGCGAUUCCCUUAGUAGUGGCGAGCGAAAAGGGACCAGCCCAGAGACCGAAGAAUUAGUUAGCAAAAUGCAAUGGAAAGUGCAGCAAUAAUAGGUGAUAGCCCUGUAUGCGAAAACUAGUGUUUUGGUACAAGAGUAGGGCGGGACACGUGAAAUCCCGUUUGAAUAUGGGGGGACCUUCCUCCAAGGCUAAAUACUCCUGAUUGACCGAUAGUGAACAAGUACCGUGAGGGAAAGGUGAAAAGAACCCCGAAGGGGGAGUGAAAUAGACACUGAAACUGAAUACCUACAAGCUGUCAGAGCCGAGACGGCUUGAUUUAUGAUUUUUGCAUAAAUGGUGCGAAGAUAAAAUCACAUCAGUACGAGAAAGACCGAUGAAGCUGUAUGAUAUACAGCGAAGAGGUCUGACGAAGUAAUGUGCGAUUUUAUCCGCAUCGAAGACGAUGAAAAAUUUAAUUCAUAAUUACGACUUUUUAUUUGCAAGUAUUUUUAUACUUGCUGCAUAAAAAUUCUUGUUCUGUCUUUAAUUUUUUUGCAUCGCCAUUUACGCAAGAAUCACAAAUCAAGCCGUCGGGUGAUGGCGUACCUUUUGUAUAAUGAGCCAACGAGUUAUUAUAUUUAGCAAGCCUAAGCCGUUAGGUGUAAGCGAAGGGAAACCGAGUCUGAAUAGGGCGAUUUAGUUAAAUGUAAUAGACCCGAAGCGGGGUGAUCUAGGUAUGGGCAGGCUGAAGGCGGCGUAACAGUCGCUGGAGGGCCGAACACACUAAUGUGUCAAUAUUAGGUGAUGACCUGUGUCUAGGGGUGAAAAGCCAAUCGAACCCCGUUAUAGCUGGUUCUCCGCGAAAACUAUUGAGGUAGUGUCUCGCGCGUUUCUUAUUGGGGGUAAAGCACUGAAAUGGCUAGGGGGAGUAAAAUCUUACCAAACCAUAUCAAACUCUGAAUACCAAUAAGCCACAACGCGGGAAACAGUCCAUCGGUGCUAAGGUCGGUGGACGAGAGGGCAACAGCCCAGACCGCCAUCUAAGGUCCCCAAAUUAUCACUAAGUGGGAAAGUGAGUCGAGAUUCCAAAACAACCAGGAUGUUGGCUUGGAAGCAGCCAUCAUUUAAAGAAAGCGUAAUAGCUCACUGGUCUAAUUAAGAAUCACGGCAACUAAAAUGUAACGGGGCUAAAGUGAUAUACCGAAGAUGCGGGCGGCGACUUUGUCGCCGCGGUAGCGGAGCAUUCUGUAAGCCUGCGAAGCCGAAGGCGCGAGCCACGGUGGAGGUAUCAGAAGCGCGAAUGUUGGCAUGAGUAGCAGCUAAUCAAGGUGAGAAACCUUGACGCCGUAAGAGCAAGGGUUCCUAUCCAAUGUUAAUCAGGGUAGGGUGAGUCGACCCCUAAGGCGAGGCCGAAAGGCGUAGUCGAUGGGAAUCAGGUUAAUAUUCCUGAACUCGAUGGGAAGUGACGGAUUUAGUAAAUUGUUUUGCCUUAUUGGAUUGGCAAUGCAGUGAAUAAGUUCCGGGAAAUAGCCCCAUCUGCGUUUAAUCGCAAGAAUCGUACCCAGAACCAACACAGGUGCUCGAGUCGAGCAGACUAAGGCGGUUGAGAGAACUAUGUUGAAGGAACUAGGCAAAAUGCAUCCGUAACUUCGGGAUAAGGAUGACCUCCUUCAAGGCAACUUUAAUGAGGUGACACAAACCAGGUGGGGGCGACUGUUUACUUAAAACCCAGGUCUCUGCUAAAUCGUAUAAGAUGAUGUAUAGGGACUGACGCCUGCCCAGUGCUGGAAGGUUAAGCUGAGGAGUGCAAGCUCUGAUGUGAAGCCCCAGUAAACGGCGGCCGUAACUCUAACGGUCCUAAGGUAGCGAAAUUCCUUGUCGGGUAAGUUCCGACCCGCAUGAAUGGCGUAACGAUCUCCACACUGUCUCCAACAUAGACUCAGCGAAAUUGAAUUCUCGGUGAAAAUGCCGGGUACCCGCAGCUAGACGGAAAGACCCUAUGAAGCUUUACUGCAGUUUCGUAUUGGCACUAGGACACAUUUGCGUAGGAUAGGUGGGACGCUUUGAAGAGCAGGUUUCGGCUUGCUUGGAGCGGUUGGUGAAAUACCACCCUUGUGUGUUUUAGUGUCUAACCCGCGCUCUUGAAGCAGGGCGGGGGACAAUGCGUGAUGGGCAGUUUGACUGGGGUGGUCGCCUCCCAAAUUGUACCGGAGGCGCGCGAAGGUUUGCUCAGGCUGGUCGGAAAUCAGCUGGUGAGUGCAAUGGCAAAAGCAAGCCUGACUGCAAGGAGGACACUCCGAGCAGAGACGAAAGUCGGUCAUAGUGACCUGGUGGUUCCGCAUGGAAGGGCCAUCACACACGGAUAAAAGCUACUCUAGGGAUAACAGGCUGAUGCUGCCCAAGCGUCCAUAGCGACGGCAGUGUUUGGCACCUCGAUGUCGACUCAUCGCAUCCUGGGGCUGGAGCAGGUCCCAAGGGUAUGGCUGUUCGCCAUUUAAAGCGGUACGUGAGUUGGGUUAAUAACGUCGUGAGACAGUUAGGUCCCUAUCUACUGUGGGCGUUGGAUAUUUGAGCGAACUUGACCUUAGUACGAGAGGACCGGGUCGAACGAACCCCUGGUGUACCUGUUGUCGCGCCCGCGGCAUCGCAGGCUAGCUAUGUUCGGAACAGAUAACCGCUGAAAGCAUCUAAGCGGGAAGCUGGUCGCAAGAUAAGAUAUCCCCAUGAGUUCAGUCCUAGACAAGGACAUUGAUAGGUUGCAGGUGCAAGUCCGGUGACGGAUGUAGCUUAGCAAUACUAAUCGAACCAUUGACUUUUUUAU